GACGAACGCUGGCGGCGUGCUUAACACAUGCAAGUCGAACGAGUGGCGAACGGGUGAGUAACACGUGGGUGAUCUGCCUUGCACUUCGGGAUAAGCUUGGGAAACUGGGUCUAAUACCGGAUAGUGCAAGAUGAGCUCGCGGCCUAUCAGCUUGUUGGUGGGGUAAUGGCUACCAAGGCGCGACGGGUAGCCGGCCUGAGAGGGUGUACGGCCACAGUGGGACUGAGAUACGGCACAGACUCCUACGGGAGGCAGCAGGGAGGAAUAUUGGUCAAUGGAGGAAACUCUGAACCAGCCAAGUCGCGUGAAGGAAGAUGUCCUAAGGAUUGUAAACUUCUUUAGCGAGCGAGUAAGUAGCUCGAGAAUAAGUAUCGGCUAACUCCGUGCCAGCCGCCGCGGUAAUAC
RNAcentral lists this ribosomal RNA (405 nucleotides) under uncultured bacterium. RNAcentral's name for it is "partial 16S ribosomal RNA". It matches the Rfam family "Bacterial small subunit ribosomal RNA", at positions 28 to 526 of the family's 1533-position model. The record is from RNAcentral.